GAUGAACGCUGGCGGCGUGCCUAAUACAUGCAAGUCGAGCGAACGGACGAGAAGCUUGCUUCUCUGAUGUUAGCGGCGGACGGGUGAGUAACACGUGGAUAACCUACCUAUAAGACUGGGAUAACUUCGGGAAACCGGAGCUAAUACCGGAUAAUAUUUUGAACCGCAUGGUUCAAAAGUGAAAGACGGUCUUGCUGUCACUUAUAGAUGGAUCCGCGCUGCAUUAGCUAGUUGGUAAGGUAACGGCUUACCAAGGCAACGAUGCAUAGCCGACCUGAGAGGGUGAUCGGCCACACUGGAACUUAGACACGGUCCAGACUCCUACGGGAGGCCGCAGUAGGGAAUCUUCCGCAAUGGGCGAAAGCCUGACGGAGCAACGCCGCGUGAGUGAUGAAGGUCUUCGGAUCGUAAAACUCUGUUAUUAGGGAAGAACAUAUGUGUAAGUAACUGUGCACAUCUUGACGGUACCUAAUCAGAAAGCCACGGCUAACUACGUG
RNAcentral lists this ribosomal RNA (497 nucleotides) under uncultured bacterium. RNAcentral's name for it is "partial 16S ribosomal RNA". It matches the Rfam family "Bacterial small subunit ribosomal RNA", at positions 28 to 507 of the family's 1533-position model. The record is from RNAcentral.